AUAGUGCAGUUCAGAUCUUCAAUAAAAGAAGCGAGAUAAAACUUAUAACAGAUUAGCAGGAAGUAUUGCAUAAAAACGGCUCAUAUCACGCAUUUGGCUCAGACUGUCUAUAAUAUGUCUAGAUUUAUCGGUGACAUUGUAACUUUUCAGCGUCUUAGAUUUUCCUUACAGUUACAGUCUUACUGUAAGCCCGCCGCAAAUAAAUAAAAGAAAUCAGCUUAUAUUUAUAUUCAGUCUCGACGAAAUGUAAAUCAUUUGAAAUCAAGCCCUUAUUUGCGUUUUAAUGACUCACUACGAGUUGCAUGUCUCAAAAAAAAUAAUUAAAAAUUAUUCGCCGAAGGCGAGGUGAUUAUCGGUGAAUAUAAUUGUUCUAGUAUAAUUUGAUAGGUGAUUGUUUAGAAAAAAUUAAAAAAAAUACACAUUUCUUCGUCAUUUAAUUGACAAAACUUUGAAAAUGGCGUUAUAAUCACCUCAUGCAACGGCAACCAAUCAGCGUGGAGAAUUUUCAAU
Non-coding RNA from Paramuricea clavata, 510 nucleotides. Lineage: Eukaryota; Metazoa; Cnidaria; Anthozoa; Malacalcyonacea; Plexauridae. The record is from the annotation of a GenBank genome assembly.